UCUAAAUUUUUUUAUUUGGUUUCCUUUUUUUUUUUGUGUUUUACUUUCACAGUGUUGUUGCUUCUCCUUAAGGGAUGCUGCUUAUUGUUUAUUUUUUAUUUUUUGGUUGAUGCUAGUGAGGUUGGUUUUCGGAUGUGAUUCGAUUGAAACACAGUUGAUGUGGUGGUGCUUGGGUUUUGUGAUUUUUGGUUAAAGUUCUCCAUUUUUUCGAAUUGAUUCUCCUUUGGUUAUAUUCUUAAAGCUAAUUUAUAAAGCCAAAAUGGGGAUCAAACCUCAUGUUCACACCAUAUUGCUUCAGCAUUAAUGGCAAUGGAAAGGUGGUUGGUAGGCAAGUGAGCUAGUUUCAGAUGCAAUGGGUUAGACACCCACUUGCCACCGCCCCACUACUUUUUCUCUUAUUUUUUAAUUUUUUUAAUUUUUAAUUUUUGCAUUUUAACAAAAUUAAACAAAUAAAACUAAAAAUUAAAAAGUAAAAAAGUUAGGGCUUCAUAUGGGUUUUAGGCUAGGACUAUAGGUUUCGGCCCAAGAAAUUGAAUUUAAGCCUUGGCCCAAUUGACAUAGACACUAGGCCUCAAAUACGAAAUAUCCCAUUUAACAAAAAUUGGGCCUUAGCCCACACAACUUUGAAUCAAAUUUUGACUCGUGUAAUUAAACCUAACAAAGCCUAAAGAAUUUAAAGUCCAAUGAAAAUCAAAGGCCAUUUUAGACAAUCCGAAUAAAAUUAGGUGUCUAUAAUUACUUUUUUUUAUGCAUUGUUAAGAAUUAGGAAUAAGGUAAAGGCGAAGACAAUAAUUUUGUCCAGAGUUAAUGAUUCAAAAUUUUGAUUUUUUUCUUUGUUUUGUUUUUAUUUUUUUUUUUAAUUUUUGAAGCAAAUCUAAAAGCUCCUUUCAUUAGAGGCUCGAUAAUUUUUGAAAAUAAUUUGACUCAGUCCAGGAUCUAUGAAUAUAAAAGAAAAAACAUACUUUUCAUCUUCUUUUCCCCAUUCGUCGCUUUAGUGCCCUUUCUUUGAAAGCCAUAGGUCCUAGUCGUAAUUCCCACUCAUUUUAGUUAGACCAGCAAAAGGGCCUAAUAUCAAUCGCUUGCACGUCGCUCUCCUAUAUAUAUAUGUGUCCCUCGCUAUAGGGUAGAAGCAACCUAUUGGCCAAGGCAGCACAGUUUCGGGUGCAUGUCGAUGGUAGCAUGAGAGCCCAUGGUACAGUGAGUAGGCAAGUUGGUACGUCUUACUGACCUAUAAGCCGAGUAUCUUGCUCUUGCUCGGUUCAAGCCAGGUUAUAUUCCCUCAUCGGAAUAUGUUCUUUUUACGAAAUUUUCGUAGUGGUUGAGCAGAGUUUUUCAGCCCUUCAAUGUUGCAUCUAAAAAAAAUGAGAUGUUUUUAGAUAUCAUCAUUGAAAAGAACUCAAAUAUCAUUGUCGAGUGAAUGCAAAUAACUUUGAAUAUCAUCACAAAAAAGAAUUUGAAUAUCAUCAUCGAAAAAAUGCAAAUGAUUUU
RNAcentral lists this long non-coding RNA (1488 nucleotides) under Durio zibethinus. RNAcentral describes it as "long non-coding RNA (DZIB_LNC002390)". The record is from RNAcentral. Lineage: Eukaryota; Viridiplantae; Streptophyta; Magnoliopsida; Malvales; Malvaceae.